Molecule: ribosomal RNA, 468 nt
Filed under: uncultured bacterium
Lineage: Bacteria
Description: partial 16S ribosomal RNA
Rfam family: Bacterial small subunit ribosomal RNA
Source: RNAcentral
GACGAACGCUGGCGGCGUGCUUAACACAUGCAAGUCGAACGGAAAGGCCCUGCUUUUGUGGGGUGCUCGAGUGGCGAACGGGUGAGUAACACGUGAGUAACCUGCCCUUGACUUUGGGAUAACUUCAGGAAACUGGGGCUAAUACCGGAUAGGAGCUCCUGCUGCAUGGUGGGGGUUGGAAAGUUUCGGCGGUUGGGGAUGGACUCGCGGCUUAUCAGCUUGUUGGUGGGGUAGUGGCUUACCAAGGCUUUGACGGGUAGCCGGCCUGAGAGGGUGACCGGCCACAUUGGGACUGAGAUACGGCCCAGACUCCUACGGGAGGCAGCAGGGGGGAAUAUGGCACAAUGGGCGGAAGCCUGAUGCAGCAACGCCGCGUGCGGGAUGACGGCCUUCGGGUUGUAAACCGCUUUCGCCGGUGACGAAGCGUGAGUGACGGUAAUGGGUAAAGAAGCACCGGCUAACUACGUG